GACGAACGCUGGCGGCGUGCCUAAUACAUGCAAGUCGAGCGGAUGGAUGGGAGCUUGCUCCCUGAUAUCAGCGGCGGACGGGUGAGUAACACGUGGGCAACCUGCCUGUAAGACUGGGAUAACUUCGGGAAACCGGAGCUAAUACCGGAUAAUCCAUUCCCUCUCAUGAGGGAAUGCUGAAGGAUGGUUUCGGCUGUCACUUACAGAUGGGCCCGCGGCGCAUUAGCUAGUUGGUGAGGUAACGGCUCACCAAGGCGACGAUGCGUAGCCGACCUGAGAGGGUGAUCGGCCACACUGGGACUGAGACACGGCCCAGACUCCUACGGGAGGCAGCAGUAGGGAAUCUUCCGCAAUGGACAAAAGUCUGACGGAGCAACGCCGCGUGGGUGAUGAAGGCCUUCGGGUCGUAAAGCUCUGUUGUUAGGGAAGAACAAGUAUCGGAGUAACUGCCGGUACCUUGACGGUACCCAACCAGAAAGCCACGGCUAACUACGUGCCAGCAGCCGCGGUAAUACGUAGGUGGCAAGCGUUGUCCGGAAUUAUUGGGCGUAAAGCGCGCGCAGGCGGUUCCUUAAGUCUGAUGUGAAAGCCCACGGCUCAACCGUGGAGGGUCAUUGGAAACUGGGGAACUUGAGUGCAGAAGAGAAGAGCGGAAUUCCACGUGUAGCGGUGAAAUGCGUAGAGAUGUGGAGGAACACCAGUGGCGAAGGCGGCUCUUUGGUCUGUAACUGACGCUGAGGCGCGAAAGCGUGGGGAGCGAACAGGAUUAGAUACCCUGGUAGUCCACGCCGUAAACGAUGAGUGCUAAGUGUUAGAGGGUUUCCGCCCUUUAGUGCUGCAGCAAACGCAUUAAGCACUCCGCCUGGGGAGUACGGCCGCAAGGCUGAAACUCAAAGGAAUUGACGGGGGCCCGCACAAGCGGUGGAGCAUGUGGUUUAAUUCGAAGCAACGCGAAGAACCUUACCAGGUCUUGACAUCCUCUGACACUCCUAGAGAUAGGACGUUUCCCUUCGGGGGACAGAGUGACAGGUGGUGCAUGGUUGUCGUCAGCUCGUGUCGUGAGAUGUUGGGUUAAGUCCCGCAACGAGCGCAACCCUUGAUCUUAGUUGCCAGCAUUCAGUUGGGCACUCUAAGGUGACUGCCGGUGACAAACCGGAGGAAGGUGGGGAUGACGUCAAAUCAUCAUGCCCCUUAUGACCUGGGCUACACACGUGCUACAAUGGGUGGUACAAAGGGCAGCAAAACCGCGAGGUUGAGCCAAUCCCAUAAAACCACUCUCAGUUCGGAUUGCAGGCUGCAACUCGCCUGCAUGAAGCUGGAAUCGCUAGUAAUCGCGGAUCAGCAUGCCGCGGUGAAUACGUUCCCGGGCCUUGUACACACCGCCCGUCACACCACGAGAGUUUGUAACACCCGAAGUCGGUGGGGUAACCGUAAGGAGCCAGCCGCCUAAGGUGGGACAGAUGAUUGGGGUG
This 1472-nucleotide ribosomal RNA is filed under the name uncultured bacterium. RNAcentral's name for it is "bacterial SSU rRNA". It matches the Rfam family "Bacterial small subunit ribosomal RNA". The record is from RNAcentral.